RNAcentral lists this transfer RNA (75 nucleotides) under Spirochaetaceae bacterium. RNAcentral describes it as "tRNA-His". It matches the Rfam family "tRNA". Rfam says of the family: Transfer RNA (tRNA) molecules are approximately 80 nucleotides in length. Their secondary structure includes four short double-helical elements and three loops (D, anti-codon, and T loops). Lineage: Bacteria; Pseudomonadati; Spirochaetota; Spirochaetia; Spirochaetales; Spirochaetaceae. The record is from RNAcentral.
GUGCCUGUAGUUCAGGGGUAGAGCGCAAGAUUGUGGAUCUUGUUGUCGCGGGUUCAAAUCCCGUCAGGCACCCUA